AGAGAAAGAGGAACCAGAAGAAAGAGAAACUCGCGACAACAGAGUUGCCGAAAGAGAAGUGUUGGCGCCUCAAACUUGAGGAUCAGCUUCUUGGGCCCCACUCCAGGGUGUCGCGGGGGUCGGGUUCUUUCCGCCGCCCCCCGAAAGAUUCUCAGCUAACCCUUUCCCCGCCGAGACCAAGAGGCCCUCACUCUGACACCACUCCGGGAGCCAAGCUACUGUAAGGAGCUGAUACCACCCCUCGCCGGCGCGAACCGCCCAUCUCCCCAGACCCGCCCACCCCCUGCUGCGAAUCCCUGACGUUCUAGCCCGGCGAAGGUCCUCUUAAAUUAGGAAACAAUAGCUAUUUAAGAAGAAGCGCAAAUAACCCGCGCUCUGCGCGCCCAAUCGUGGGAUUCUUGGGAGUUCCCCGCGGGCAAGGAAGUCUGCUGCUCCCCGCAGCUGCGGAGGAGAGGAGGGAGCCUGCGUGCUGGGGCAGGGUGUCGCGAACUUGGGGCAACCCACCUCCAGAGCCCCGCCCCCGCUUUCCCGCCUGCCGGGGACCUGCCGAACGCGGAACCACCCUCCUUCCUGAGGCAAAUUUGGGAGGGGAGAGGUCCAGAAGCUGUAGAGUCGGGGCGCCAAGCGCCAGAUUCUGCCGCUCGGAAGUUGGGGGCAGUCCCCAGUCCCGCCUCAGGCCCCCGCGCUCACAGGGCGCUCCGCCGAGGGCGCGGGCCAGGCGCGCGGUGUCACCUCCACGAAGUCAUUUACUUGCCCUGAAGGAGCUGGCCCUCGACCCCUUGGAGGAUGGAGAUUCCUCCCAUUCCCUCCUCCGCCUCCCCCAGGUCGGCGAAGAGACGUGGAAUUGAGCUGGACCGAUGAUUCCGCGAGCUCUGUAAUUAUGCACACACUGAAAUCUUCACCGUUGACUUAAGUUACUUGGCGCUGCGAGGGCUGGGGCCCUGCAUAUUGAUUAAAUGCAGCCUCUAUUUACCUAAACAAUAAAUGUAGAGAUUAGCAACGUUCACUUGAUCACAAUAAUGGGAUUGACAAUUAAGGGGCAAUGCAUCCCAGAUGUAGCGGAACCUAUGGGCUGCGUGCAGCAGGCAGAGGGCUUCUCAGAGAGGGGCGCUGGGCAGUUGCGGCGGCGGAGGUAGUGCAGAGCAGGAAGCAGCGCGGAAGCACAGCGGGAGGCGGAGGGGGACGCCCAGCCUCGUCAAGGUCUUCGGCCACCCCGCCCGGGAGGCUCGAAACUGGCUUUGGGGUACCUGAAUGCCUCGACUCCCAGGGAGACAUCGGGAGCUCGGAGCCACUCUCCCUGUGGCGAUGGCACCUGCCUCAAGGCCGUCUCGCUUGCUGAUGCCUGGCCGGGAAGGAGGAUGGACGCCGCUGGCAUGUGCCCUGGCUCUGGAAAAACUGGCAGGAAUUUCCUUGUCGUGAGAAGAUGGACGAGUGUGUCUGCAGCCGAGGAGACAACUACAAACAGACUUUGGGCAGGGAAGGCGGGCGGGCGGGGGUGGGGGUGGGGGCGGGGGCCUGCUUUGAUCGCUCCAGCUCUGUUGUAAUUUUGUCUUCGCCAGAUAGAUUAGCUGGAACCGCCAGCCCUAGCUUGGAGUUCCGUUCCACGGAGUACCCUCCCUCCCCACCCCCAGCGUCAUCUCGCGCCUGGAGCCGGGUCGCCGCUCCUUCCGAAGUCUCGCUGGAAACUUCAAGGGCUGAUGGUUCUGUGUUCUUGACGUAAUUAGGAGGCCACGCAGCUCUCCAACACUCCGUUAAACAAAUAUGUCUUUCUUAGGAAGCGGAGAGAGGGGCAGAAAACGUGCACCUCGCCACCCACCGGACAAGCCGAGAGGACCUUGUCUUUGCUUGAAAAGUUUUCUAGAUAAAUCGCUCGGGUGGUUCUAAGCUAUGACGAACUAGAGGCUGGGCCCGGUUCUUCUCCAGAACAGCGUGUGGAUGUAAAGGAGAUGAAAUCGUCCUCCCCCACUGCUUUCUUUUUCUUCCCCAUAUAAAUCAGUCAUAUAAUUCAUUCGCAUUGUUUAAGGUACAUUGAUCAAUCUAAUGGCUUGUAAUAGUCUCCUAAUUGCCACUUGCAGACUCCUGCAGGCUCAGAUUUGAAGAGGGAAGGUUCCAGCCAAGUCCACCUUAAGCCUGAGUUUGGGCGACUACAGAAUCCAGGAAGAAAAUCUAGAUGGCAUGGUCGCUCCGGUCUCAGUUCUACAGGGGAGGGAAGAAAGGGGGUGUUAGUGGGGAUAUUUGCUGUUCAUUUUUCCCGCAAUCUCCCUUCCAAAUCAGUCACUGAUUAAUGAGCAAAGCCCAUGCCACAAGUUAUAGAUUACUGUGGACUGAGGAUCAUUUUGUUAAUAUCAGGCAAGAAACUUGCCUUACUUGCAUCCCUGUGUCUGUAUUUACAGUAACAACUUCCUUAGUCACAAACUGAUAUGCUUUUAGCCAUACCUUUUCUUCUUACUUACUUAUUUUUAGCAUCAUCAGGAGUUGGGAUAGGAAAUAACAUGGGGGAGGGGUGUGUUAAAGGGAAGGAAGGAAAAGCCAUCCUUUAUCCCAGAGUGUCCUGGAGGUAUGCCUACACUCCUGUUUAACAUCUUGUGGUUGUAGUGCCUUCUCCAAGCCCUGGAUGGAGGAGGAAAGAGUUGGAAGCCUCCUCAAAUCUGCCUAUGAAAGGGUAAAACUGAGGAAACUGGUACCCUAGCUAUGAGAAGCUGAGUAAUGAUCAGAAUCCUCUGGCCUCUGGCUUUUCUUGAUAUUAGUUCAGGUCUAUGCAAAAAAAUUGCUUUAGUGUCUCCAAAGGUGGUUCCAUUAGAGUUGGCUGAGACAAUACAUGUGCAUCAUUUUGGAAGAGAUGCUCUUAAAAAGAAGAAAGCCACUACAGAAUGCCACAUUUGCUUAGGUCUAAGACCCUUCUGUGGUAGUCGGUGAGGGAGGGAGGAAAGUAAAACCCCAAGCUGAAUAGGCCCCCCAUAGUUUCCGAGUGAUGCAGUAAACAAAUCUAUGAUGCUUGUUGAAUAAUCUUCCAAUAAUUGCAGUCAUUAAAAUCAUCACACAGUCUACAGUCACCUUCCUUCCUUUGACACACCAGUCUUUCCCUUAAUUGUUAAUGCAUUUUUGGCUCAGAUAAACACAUAGAGGCCAGCUUAAAAUAUAUGGCCCAGAUACAUCUAACAGCAGAAAAUUAGUUGUGUAACAAACGUUUGGACUGUGCUUAAUAGACUAGGGGUUUUCAAUUUCUUCAGCAGACCCUACAGAGGCAAGAAAGAUUUGCAUCUUCUACCACUGCUAAAUAGCAGUGACGCCUCUGAGAUACAAAAAAAAAAAAAAAAGAAAAAAAAGAUGAAAGUCCCAUUGGCCUAUUGAAUCUUCCUUGCUCUUUCAUUUGCAAGGGUUGGGCUGGAAUUAGGACAUUAUAGAACAAAUAUUAAAGGAAAGCUUAACAGAAAC
Molecule: long non-coding RNA, 3435 nt
Filed under: Homo sapiens (human)
Lineage: Eukaryota; Metazoa; Chordata; Mammalia; Primates; Hominidae
Description: HSALNT0043344
Source: RNAcentral